GAUGAACGCUGGCGGCGUGCCUAAUACAUGCAAGUCGAGCGAACAGACGAGGAGCUUGCUCCGCUGACGUUAGCGGCGGACGGGUGAGUAACACGUGGAUAACCUACCUAUAAGACUGGGAUAACGUCGGGAAACCGGAGCUAAUACCGGAUAAUAUAUUGAACCGCAGGGUUCAAUAGUGAAAGACGGUUUUGCUGUCACUUGUAGAUGGAUCCGCGCCGCAUUAGCUAGUUGGUAAUGUAACGGCUUACCAAGGCAACGAUGCGUAGCCGACCUGAGAGGGUGAUCGGCCACACUGGCACUGAGACACGGUCCCGGCUCCUACGGGAGCCAGCAGUAGGGAAUCUUCCGCAAUGGGCGAGAGCCUGACGGAGCAACGCCGCGUGAGUGAUGAAGGUCUUCGGAUCGUAAAACUCUGUUAUUAGCGAAGAACAAGUGUGUAAGUGACUAUGCGCGUCUUGACGGUACCUAAUCAGAAAGCCCCGGCUAACUACGUG
Molecule: ribosomal RNA, 497 nt
Filed under: uncultured bacterium
Lineage: Bacteria
Description: partial 16S ribosomal RNA
Rfam family: Bacterial small subunit ribosomal RNA
Source: RNAcentral